UACGUAGGGGGCGAGCGUUAUCCGGAAUGACUGGGUGUAAAGGGAGCGUAGACGGUUGUACAAGUCUGAUGUGAAAGCCCACGGCUCAACUGUGGGAGUGCAUUGGAAACUGUAGAACUAGAGUAUCGGAGAGGCAAGUGGAAUUCCUAGUGUAGCGGUGAAAUGCGUAGAUAUUAGGAGGAACACCAGUGGCGAAGGCGGCUUGCUGGACGAAAACUGACGUUGAGGCUCGAAAGCGUGGGGAGCAAACAGG
RNAcentral lists this ribosomal RNA (253 nucleotides) under uncultured bacterium. RNAcentral's name for it is "partial 16S ribosomal RNA". It matches the Rfam family "Bacterial small subunit ribosomal RNA", at positions 524 to 776 of the family's 1533-position model. The record is from RNAcentral.